Molecule: ribosomal RNA, 423 nt
Filed under: uncultured bacterium
Lineage: Bacteria
Description: partial 16S ribosomal RNA
Rfam family: Bacterial small subunit ribosomal RNA
Source: RNAcentral
AAUCUUCCGCAAUGGACGAAAGUCUGACGGAGCAACGCCGCGUGAGUGAUGAAGGUUUUCGGAUCGUAAAACUCUGUUAUUAGGGAAGAACAAAUGUGUAAGUAACUGUGCACAUCUUGACGGUACCUAAUCAGAAAGCCACGGCUAACUACGUGCCAGCAGCCGCGGUAAUACGUAGGUGGCAAGCGUUAUCCGGAAUUAUUGGGCGUAAAGCGCGCGUAGGCGGUUUCUUAAGUCUGAUGUGAAAGCCCACGGCUCAACCGUGGAGGGUCAUUGGAAACUGGGAAACUUGAGUACAGAAGAGGAAAGUGGAAUUCCAUGUGUAGCGGUGAAAUGCGCAGAGAUAUGGAGGAACACCAGUGGCGAAGGCGACUUUCUGGUCUGUAACUGACGCUGAUGUGCGAAAGCGUGGGGAUCAAACAG